RNAcentral lists this small RNA (2405 nucleotides) under Pongo abelii (Sumatran orangutan). RNAcentral's name for it is "retained intron". Lineage: Eukaryota; Metazoa; Chordata; Mammalia; Primates; Hominidae. The record is from RNAcentral.
CCUUUGGGGACAGUCCCUGGGGCUGCCCCUGGACAACAGAGGGAUGGCACCAGUGUGUGGGAUCGUGGCGGGGGGCUCUGUAAGGAGCCCCGGGCCUCUGUGACCACUUCCCACCCGCCCUCCCUGCCAUCCCGCAUCCCGGGCCCGGGUCUCCCUGCCGUCCCGCAUCCCGGGCCCGGGUCUCCCUGCCGUCCCGCAUCCCGGGCCCGGGUCCUGCCCCAAGUGCUUGCUGUGUGCUGCCUCUGGGAGCUGAGCUUAGCUCCUGCCACGUCCAUGUAUGUGUGAGUGUGCACGCAGAUGCAUGUCUGUGUGUGUGCACACAUGGGGCCCGACCACCAGGCCCGUGGCACCCUCCUCACCCCCCCUUGCCUUCAGGUUCUUCGAGGACCUGGAGCAGCGGCACAAGGCCCAGGUGCUGGUCGAGGACAUCAGUGACAUCCUGGAGGAGCACGCCGAGAAGCAUUUCCACCCCUACAUCGCCUACUGCUCCAACGAGGUCUACCAGCAGCGCACGCUGCAGAAGCUGAUCAGCAGCAACGCCGCCUUCCGAGAGGUCCUGAGAGAGAUUGAGAGGCGGCCGGCGUGCGGGGGCCUGCCCAUGCUCUCCUUCCUGAUCCUCCCCAUGCAGCGGGUGACCCGGCUGCCCCUCCUGACGGAUACGCUCUGCCUCAAGACCCAGGGCCACUCUGAGAGGUACAAGGCCGCCAACCGUGCACUGAAGGCCAUCAGCAAGCUGGUGAGGCAGUGCAACGAGGGGGCCCACAGGAUGGAGCGCAUGGAGCAGAUGUACACGCUGCACACACAGCUGGACUUCAGCAAGGUCAAGUCCCUCCCACUGAUUUCCGCCUCCCGGUGGCUGCUGAAGCGUGGAGAGCUGUUCUUAGUGGAAGAAACCGGACUUUUUCGAAAAAUUGCCAGCCGGCCAACGUGCUACCUGUUCCUGUUCAACGAUGUCCUGGUUGUGACCAAGAAGAAGAGGUGGCCUUAGGGCAGGAGGGUGUGGGGAGCCCCACUCCAUGGACACUGGGCCGCUGGCCCUGGGGCAGGAGGGUGCGGGGAGUCGGCCCUGAGCCCCUCUGACCUCAGAGCUGAGGCGUGGCUUCCACUCGGCACAUGCCCUGCGUGACACUCGGGGGCAGGUGGCACUCGCUAUGCAGCCUCCGGCCUCCUCUGCAGACCUGGGUCUGCCUGUGACAGCCACGAGGACUGGAAAGCCAUGGCCUCUGUUCUGUGGGACGCGGGAACUCUUGGAGCCUGUCCAUGGCUGCCUCCCCACCACUGCAGGGGAGCCGGGUGGGAACUGGACGGGAGCCCAGCAGGCACCGGAUAGUAGCUGGGUGGGACCGUCCCACCGACUGCCCGUGUCCCCACAGCGAGGAGAGCUACAUGGUCCAGGACUACGCCCAGAUGAACCACAUCCAGGUGGAGAAGAUAGAGCCGUCUGAGCUCCCUCUGCCCGGGGGUGGCAACCGCAGCUCCUCCGUGCCCCACCCCUUCCAGGUGACCCUGCUUCGCAACAGCGAGGGCCGCCAGGAGCAGCUCCUGCUCUCCUCGGACUCCGCGAGUGACCGGGCACGGUGGAUCGUGGCGCUCACACACAGUGAGAGACAGUGGCAGGGCCUCUCCAGCAAAGGAGACCUGCCCCAGGUGGAGAUCACCAAGGCCUUCUUCGCGAAGCAAGCAGACGAGGUCACACUGCAGCAGGCGGACGUGGUCCUGGUUCUGCAGCAGGAGGAUGGGUGGCUCUAUGGCGAGAGGCUCCGGGACGGAGAGACGGGCUGGUUCCCCGAGGACUUUGCCCGCUUCAUCACCAGCCGUGUGGCCGUGGAGGGCAACGUCCGCAGGAUGGAGCGUCUGCGGGUGGAGACGGAUGUGUAGCCCUGGCGAGGCCAGCCGGCGGCAGCACAGCCUGUCCCCGAUCAGCAAGUGGCCGUGCCUGGCUCCAGAGAGCGUGGGGAGCUGGUCUCAAGGACCCAGCAUGGUUCCCUGGGGCUUCCCAAGAGCCUGUGGCUGUGAUCCCGGGCUCCGGACACCUCACAAAAGGAAGAUCACGUGUCCCCCGAGAGGCACCCCCAGGCAAGCUCCAGGGGGCCACCCCAUGUCCCAGGGAGCCCAGCCUAUUCCCAUUGGCUGGCUGGGCCUCUCUCAGCUGCUGGGCGCCACCUUCCCACUGCACCCAGGGGGCAACUCCACCCGGACUGAUGGGCACAGGAGGCACCAAUAGCGAUUAUCGGGGGCAAUGCGAGGUCUCCUCCUGUGUCCUUCCUACCCCCGAGUGAGGCAAGAAGGGCCCCGAGUGCCCAGGAGUGCCCACGUUCUGAGAGGGGGCCAGCCGGAGGGAGGGGACCUGGCAGGGAGAUUGCGGUUUUGAGGUUUCUAAAUACAUUAAAGUUAUUUCUUAAGAA